CUCUACCCGUCCUGGGUGGCGACCGCUGACCCCCGCCCCUCAGCCCACCACUGCGCAGACUUGAGACUUCGGCGCGCUGAGGUUAGGACGAGAGAGGCAAAAGGGAGGUGUGUGACCGGGAGAAGGCGGUGCUCCUACCGCCGUAGAAGGGGCCGCCGGUGUCGGUGGUCCGGGUGGUGCUGGGGAGGAGAGCGGCCCGGCCGCUAGGUGGCGCCGGAGCCGCGGCGGGCGGAGGAGGGCCCCAGCGAGAGGGCGACGAGCGGGGGCCGUAGGUGGCGGGUCUGACAGAGGAGGCGGCGGGGGUUCUGGUCCCCGAACGAGGACGGUACGGCCCGUCGCCUCCCCCGCCGCGGCCGCGCACGCCCCCGCGGUGACUUCCACUACUAGAGGCCCCGCGGGCGCAGCCCGUUCCCCUGAGUCACGGCAUACUAACAGCUCUUCAUACCAAACCAAGUAUAUAGUUGACCCCUAGAAGAUGCCCGACUUCAUAGAAGACCGUGUCUAUAUCCGUUCUUUCGUUUUCUUAUAUACCUGUCACCGUACGAACAGGGUCUAGUUCAACACUGUCUAUACCAACAGAGUGCUGACAGUGUCGGACUACACGCGCUUUCUCCCACCGAAGAACUACCAAUGGGUUCCUCAAUACGAGUUCGUGUUUCAGAACUAUCAUACUUUUAUUCUGGUCUAUAUAAGCAAAAUGACCUUCAAGGACUACUGUUAGAUUAGCUAUCUACACAACCUUCUUCUGACCUAGGACACUGCCCGUUUUAAAUGGUACAUUUCUUGAAGGGGGGUCUCUUACUCCUCUAUAGACGGUCCGAAUAAUGUGCGAGACUACUAUGUAAACUUUUCCAAUUUAGUGCGGAACUCUGAAUGUUUGUUUUAAGACUUCGACAAUAAGGUUGUAUGAGUCUAGACGAAUUGGUCUAACUACCUUUAGCGGGUCACCUUCAGUAAAAAGUACUUUAUCUAAGGUACAAUGUCUUCUAAUGCUUACGAAGUCUUUUUUUCAACCGGUUCUGUUUGCCUUUUGGUGGUCUGUGUUGUCGAAGCUUUUUCCUCACCGCACCUUAAGGUUGCUCUAAUUUAUUGUAAGGUGUGAGGUCUCUCUAGUCCUUUAUGAAAAUGCCGCUACACUAUGUUCGAUGUUUCGUACGAUAACUUCUAUUUUUCUGAGCCAACGUCUAUCUAUAGUUAUAAGGCCUCGAAUUGGGGCUUUACCUACAAAUAGCAUAUCCUUGGGAGUACCUUGAACAUUCUCUAAAUAGAGAAUGGAAACGACUACUGCCUUUCGCACAGUUCCAGACACAAGUUCCGAGGUACCCCGUUCCGCGUAAACGACCAUAAGGUGAAGUCGAACGACCUUGGUCUUUUUAUAACCUUAAGUACCUGACCCCACUGAUACCCCGCUACCCGCGGAAGUAUUUAUAACCUCGUCAUCCACGAUCACUCUAACUAUUUCUUCUACUGUACAAACAAGAGUAACGAGGGGUUUUACGACAACCUUUGACGUAUUAACUACUAUACUCUCGAUACUGACUACGACGACCACUGUCUGGACACUAAGAACAUUUAGGAGCGGACUUCCUAUACGGACGUAGUUCACCGCAUUACGUUUGUUACCCUUCUCUACACUCCGAAGUCAUACGACGUAGUAAACUCUGAACAAUAAGAAAGGCCGAAGAGAAGAUACGACCAUGUAAAAUAGGAUAUUACCCGCGAAAUUCCUACCGAAUAUGUUUAUUUAUACUCUAAAAAGCUUCCCAACUACUUGGAUUACCUCUUUUUAUACUAAACGAUCGACUUAAGUGGCCCUUAGGUUGUCGACUACUGUAGUGGUUACGGAAACAUCCUUGUUUUUUCUUUUUCCUUUUACGCGGGAGACCUAAGACCCCAAAGAACUCGCCGUAUAACAUUCAUUUUAGUCAGAUGAUACGUCUGUAUUCAAAAACGCACUCCCAAGGUCAGUUAGUCGUAAAGUAGUCACAUCGGUCUGUUCUAGAACGCGUUAGGGCGCUGCGACUUAAUAUAGGACUGCAUAACAGGAUAUAUAUAUGAAACACGUGUGUAGUAGGUAGUAACAAUUAAAAGUCACAUUGAUACUUACUUCUCAUUUAAAGACGUUGUGAUGUCCAAGUGUGAAACCCUACUAACUUUACUAUGUGUUACAUGUUUCUCAUUUACGUAGUUUUUGCAACAGUUAUAUGUUUCUCAUCGGCGUUGUGUGUGACAUUACCUUAAAAAAAGGGGAAUGUAGAACCACAUCGGUUAUGAAUUAUAGAGGUUUGUACUUCGGACCUAAGAAAGAUGUGCAGUACUG
RNAcentral lists this ribosomal RNA (2320 nucleotides) under Triticum aestivum (bread wheat). RNAcentral's name for it is "partial small subunit ribosomal RNA". Lineage: Eukaryota; Viridiplantae; Streptophyta; Magnoliopsida; Poales; Poaceae. The record is from RNAcentral.